Molecule: ribosomal RNA, 274 nt
Filed under: uncultured bacterium
Lineage: Bacteria
Description: partial 16S ribosomal RNA
Rfam family: Bacterial small subunit ribosomal RNA
Source: RNAcentral
AUACAGAGGGUGCAAGCGUUAAUCGGAUUUACUGGGCGUAAAGCGCGCGUAGGUGGUUUGAUCAGUCUGAUGUGAAAGCCCAGGGCUCAACCUUGGAAUUGCAUUCGAUACUGUCAGACUAGAGUUUAGGAGAGGAAGGUGGAAUUCCAGGUGUAGCGGUGAAAUGCGUAGAUAUCUGGAGGAAUACCAGUGGCGAAGGCGGCCUUCUGGACUAAAACUGACCCUGAGGUGCGAAAGCGUGGGGAGCAAACAGGAUUAGAUACCCCAGUAGUCC